This 420-nucleotide ribosomal RNA is filed under the name uncultured bacterium. RNAcentral's name for it is "bacterial SSU rRNA". It matches the Rfam family "Bacterial small subunit ribosomal RNA", at positions 356 to 773 of the family's 1533-position model. The record is from RNAcentral.
GAGGAAUAUUGCGCAAUGGAGGCAACUCUGACGCAGCCAUGCCGCGUGCAGGAAGAAGGCGCUACGCGUUGUAAACUGCUUUUAACCGGGAAGAAACCCCAGGACGUGUCCUGGGUUGACGGUACCGGAGGAAUAAGCACCGGCUAACUUCGUGCCAGCAGCCGCGGUAAUACGAAGGGUGCAAGCGUUAUCCGGAUUCAUUGGGUUUAAAGGGUGCGUAGGCGGAGCGUUAAGUCAGUGGUGAAAUCCUGCAGCUUAACUGUAGACCUGCCAUUGAUACUGGCGCUCUUGAGUGCGCUUGAAGUAGGCGGAAUGUGUCGUGUAGCGGUGAAAUGCUUAGAUAUGACACAGAACACCGAUUGCGAAGGCAGCUUACUAAGGCGAGACUGACGCUGAGGCACGAAAGCGUGGGGAUCGAAC